This 417-nucleotide ribosomal RNA is filed under the name Blastocystis sp. Its description in RNAcentral is "SSU rRNA". It matches the Rfam family "Eukaryotic small subunit ribosomal RNA", at positions 477 to 910 of the family's 1831-position model. Lineage: Eukaryota; Bigyra; Opalinata; Blastocystidae. The record is from RNAcentral.
ACAAUGCGGGACUAUACGUCUUGCAAUUGGAUUGAGAACAAUGUACAACUCUUAUCGAUAAGCCAUUGGAGGGCAAGUCUGGUGCCAGCAGCCGCGGUAAUUCCAGCUCCAAUAGCGUAUAUUAACGUUGUUGCAGUUAAAAAGCUCGUAGUUGAAGUGUGGGUGAUCGCUAUUGUGAGACUUCGGUCUCUCGACAGUAAGUCACCCCCUUCCAGUAUCCAGUAGUGGGUAUUCAGUUACUUACUAUUGUGUGUUGGUCCUUUACUGUGAGAAAAUUAGAGUGUUCAAAGCAGGCGUUUGCUUGAAUAGAUUAGCAUGGAAUAAUAAUUGAAGGCUUUCGUGUUCGAUUUGAUUGGUUUGUUCAUGGAAGCAAGGUUAAAAGGAACAGUUGGGGGUAUUCAUAUUCACUAGUUAGAG